CAAGCUGGAGCUUGUUAAGCGCUUUAUUUACACUAAAAGGAAAAUUGUUUAAAUCAAUUUAGUUUGA
This 67-nucleotide transfer RNA is filed under the name Cucujoidea sp. 44 KM-2017. RNAcentral's name for it is "tRNA-Val". The record is from RNAcentral. Lineage: Eukaryota; Metazoa; Arthropoda; Insecta; Coleoptera.